Non-coding RNA from Coffea arabica (coffee), 971 nucleotides. Lineage: Eukaryota; Viridiplantae; Streptophyta; Magnoliopsida; Gentianales; Rubiaceae. The record is from RefSeq and is a predicted model, not a curated record.
AAUUGAUUUUCUUUUAGUACAUGUUGCGGUAGAUCAGGAAAUCUCUACGGAAAAAGUCAAAAUAGGGUUCAACAUCCGACGUGUCCAAAUGACGGGGUCCAUAAAUUUUAUCACACGAUGCAGUAGAAAGACGAGUCACUGAGUUGCAACGACGAAUCUACAGCGACUCUCCUUCGGGCACUUGGAUUGUUUCGGUGGCUACUUCUAGAGUCACUCCACUGGAACGCCAGCAGCGUUGCUAUUUCAAGUGUACGCGUCCCCGUCUCCGUCUCCGUCUCCUCCUUGUUAUAGCUACCGUCUCGCCUUCGCGGUUGGGCCUAGUCGAUUUCCAUUACGAAGCAGAGAACAGAGCGUGUCGUGUCCAUGGGGUAUUUUGCGCCGGAUAUUGGCGAAGGAGAGUUCUCGCAAUAGUUGACAGCUCUUCACUAGCGCUUCUGUGUUCAUCCGAAAUUUGUUUAGCGAAAUACCAGUAAUAAGAAUGAUCUGGUUUCAAAUCCAUGCGCUCAUUGGGAAUUUUAUGAUUGAAGGUUCUCAACAUCAACUGUUGUUCCUGUUUGUUUAAUGAAAAUGAAAAUGAAAUAAAAAUAAGAAGUCCAGCAAACAACUUGUGGAAAUUGUCAGGCCCAAAAAUGGCUGCUCAGAGGAUUGGACAUGUAGCAAACAAAGGCCCAAGUGUUUUCAAGGCGAUUGUAUUGGGGAUGUCUUUUGGGGUCAUGGCAGGAGGCCUUUGGAAAAUGCACCACCGGAACAACCAGAGGCGGACUAAAGAGUUCUAUGACAUGCUUGAGAAAGACGAAAUCAGUGUUGUUGUGGUGGAAGAGUAGACUGUACGGUAGAGUAGAGUAGGCACUAUUUUCUUCCACUUAGGAAAAUGUCGUUUGCAUCUUACUUUUGUUUCCGCUAUCAUUUUAAUCAUAGAAUUUUGGGAUAAUUGCAGAAACCUCGCCUGAGGUUUCUGAUAUUUGCACUGA